GGACCUGACUGCUAUCGGAUUGAUACUAAGCCAUGCGAGUCAUUGUAGCAAUACAAGGCAUACGGCUCAGUAACGCGUAGUCAACCUAACCUAUGGACGGGAAUAACCUCGGGAAACUGAGAAUAAUGCCCGAUAGAACAUUAUGCCUGGAAUGGUUUAUGUUCCAAAUGAUUUAUCGCCGUAGGAUGGGACUGCGGCCUAUCAGUUUGUUGGCGAGGUAAUGGCCCACCAAGACUAUUACAGGUACGGGCUCUGAGAGGAGUAGCCCGGAGAUGGGUACUGAGACACGGACCCAGGCCCUAUGGGGCGCAGCAGGCGAGAAAACUUUGCAAUGUGCGAAAGCACGACAAGGUUAAUCCGAGUGGUUUCUGCUAAAGAAACCUUUUGUCAGUCCUAGAAACACUGAUGAAUAAGGGGUGGGCAAGUUCUGGUGU
RNAcentral lists this ribosomal RNA (434 nucleotides) under uncultured archaeon. RNAcentral's name for it is "bacterial SSU rRNA". It matches the Rfam family "Archaeal small subunit ribosomal RNA", at positions 19 to 458 of the family's 1478-position model. The record is from RNAcentral.